UGCGCAGGCGGUUAUAUAAGACAGAUGUGAAAUCCCCGGGCCCAACCUGGGAACUGCAUUUGUGACUGUAUAGCUAGAGUACGGCAGAGGGGGAUGGAAUUCCGCGUGUAGCAGUGAAAUGCGUAGAUAUGCGGAGGAACACCGAUGGCGAAGGCAAUCCCCUAGGCCUGUACUGACGCUCAUGCACGAAAGGCUGGGAAGCAAACA
Molecule: ribosomal RNA, 207 nt
Filed under: uncultured bacterium
Lineage: Bacteria
Description: partial 16S ribosomal RNA
Rfam family: Bacterial small subunit ribosomal RNA
Source: RNAcentral